RNAcentral lists this ribosomal RNA (378 nucleotides) under uncultured bacterium. Its description in RNAcentral is "partial 16S ribosomal RNA". It matches the Rfam family "Bacterial small subunit ribosomal RNA", at positions 527 to 907 of the family's 1533-position model. The record is from RNAcentral.
GUANGGGGCGAGCGUUAUCCGGAUUCAUUGGNCGUAAAGCGCGCGUAGGCGGCCGCGUAGGCGGGGGGUCAAAUCCCGGNGCUCAANCCCGGUCCGCCCCCCGAACCCCGCGNCUCGGNUCCGGUANGGGAGGGUGGAAUUCCCGGUGUANCNNUGGAAUGCNCANAUAUCGGGAGGAACACCGGUGGCGAAGGCGGCCCUCUGGGCCGAGACCGACGCUNAGGCACGAAAGCUGGGGGAGCGAACANGAUUAGAUACCCUGNUAUUCCCAGCCGUAAACGAUGGACGCUAGGUGUGGGGGGACGAUCCCUCCGUGCCGCAGCCAACGCAUUAAGCGUCCCGCCUGGGGAGUACGGCCGCAAGGCUAAAACUCAAAGG